GCAAUACUCCCUCCGUUCGGAAUUACUUGUCACAAAAAUGGAUGUAUCUACAACUAAAAUACAUCUAGAUACAUUCAAUUCUUGGACGAGUAAUUCCGAACGAAGGGAGUACAAC
This is a non-coding RNA of Triticum aestivum (bread wheat), 115 nucleotides long. NCBI's taxonomy places the organism in Eukaryota, Viridiplantae, Streptophyta, Magnoliopsida, Poales, Poaceae. The record is from Rfam.